RNAcentral lists this transfer RNA (75 nucleotides) under Celeribacter neptunius. RNAcentral describes it as "tRNA_Pseudo_TAC". Lineage: Bacteria; Pseudomonadati; Pseudomonadota; Alphaproteobacteria; Rhodobacterales; Roseobacteraceae. The record is from RNAcentral.
ACAUCAAUAGCUUGGUCGCUUGGCGCUUCGUUUACACCGAAGAUGUCGGGAGUUCGAGCCUCUCACGACCCACCA